UGUUGAAUGAUUCACUUUCAGCCCAUUUCUGCUAGAAUUCAGAUAAAUGAAUUGAUUGGUUGGUUUUUUCUUUUCCCUUUUUAAUCUGAGUUUUGAAAGAUUGGUAAUUAUUUAGUCUUUGUUUCUUGUUACUGCUAACCAAGGAUUUGUUUGGUGUUUUUAACAUUGUUUUUAGAAAACAGAAGGUGUCAAACCCAAACUAGGUUUCAUAACAAUGCCAUUACAUAACCAUCCAAUUAGUAGCUCGUUCACUGCUAUUAAUAGAAGCUUCCACAUCUAAAUUUCUUUGUGCAGUGCUACAAUAACUGGCAAGAAGAGGCUUCCCAUUAGUUAUGCAUUUUCAGAAGAGAAUAAAUGAACUUCAUGGAGUUUUAUGAGAUGCAGAGUAAUGUGUGGUUUAUUAGUUGCCAGGCUGUCCCAAUGACGUUUGCCUUUCCGGGCUCACGGGAGAUGUUCAGACCCAGUGGACUGUUGUUGAAAGCCUCAUCUGUACAUACACAACAUAAAAGGCUACUAGAGACAGAGCUCAGACCAAGUCAUAAAAAGGAGCUGCUGCCCUGAACCACAGAAGAUGCAAGUUAGGACAGUACUAUGAUUCAGACUGGGUAAACUAAGGAACCAUAAUAUGACACAGUUACAGUGUUGGAUGGAUAAAUCUCAAUGACAGCACUUAGAAACAUGCUUUCAUACCUUGGAAAGUCUUCUA
Long non-coding RNA from Athene cunicularia (burrowing owl), 706 nucleotides. RefSeq lists it as uncharacterized. Lineage: Eukaryota; Metazoa; Chordata; Aves; Strigiformes; Strigidae. The transcript has 3 exons. The record is from RefSeq and is a predicted model, not a curated record.